ACCGUUGCAAUUGAGAAGGGACUAUUGGCAACAUAUAACCGCGUUGCAAAAGUACUUUUUGGGGGAAAGUAAAUUGAAAGAAGUAUUAACAACGAUUAUGUAUGUUGCUAUAGUCUAAUUGUAUUAGCAACGAUUUAAAACGUUGCAAUAGCUUGAGAGAAACUAAAAAAAAUAAAAAUAAAAUCCCGAUUUAUCUCUGUCUUCUGUGACUUAUCUCUCUAUCUCUCUUCAGCCUCUCCCUCAUCUACUCUCAUCGCCUCAAUCCUAAACCUUUACUUGGAUUUGUCUUGGAGAAUACUCAGGUAAUUUUAUUUUUAGAUGAAUUUCGAUUAGUAUGUGAAUUAGAUAAUUGGAUUGAAUGUUUGAUUCCAAAAUUGUUUUUUGAUUGGGUUUCCCUUCUUGUGAUUAAUUUGUUGAUUGAGUUUGCAAGUAUAGUUAAUUAUCAAACUCUAGUUUUAGAAACAUGAUAAUUAGAAUAUAAAACAAAGAAAAACUCACAAUUGCAUCAGAAAAAAUGAACUAAGUACUAUAUCCAUACUAGAUUGGGUAUGAUAUUUGCUGCUGGUGUAUCCCCUAACUGGUUCGAUGAAAACUCUUCUAGGUUAUUGAUUAUUGAACGGGUAGGUAUAAUUCUCGGUAAGUUGUAGAAAUAUUUUGCAGGCUGCUAAUCCCAAUGAAAACUCUUCUAGGUUAUAUCCAUACUAGAUUGGGUAGGUAUAAUUCUCUGUAAGUUGCUUCUCACUAAUGAGAAAAACAAUAUCUUUAUGCACAGCAUGCUCGUAUCGACAUACAGUACUUCAUCUGAUUGGUAGUAUUAGUUUCUUUGUUAUCAUGGUACUUAAUUAUGUAAGUUAACAUUUAGAAGCAGUUUUACUAAAUUGAUCAACUACUUGAUACUUGAUGCAAUUUGUAAUCGAAUUUAAGAAAUUUGAUUUAUUGGUCGAUUUACCGUUUGUAGUUGACAAAUUUUAUCGAUUAAUAUUGAAUCAUGACGAAGAGUCGUCUUUAGUUGACAAAGAAGAAGUAGCAGAAAUUUGGAAUGAAUUUCAGUCUUGCGUAGUCUGAAGUUCGUGGUCGGAUGAAAGUCUUCCUGUUCUCCGAUCGAGUUGAAAUUUUUACAGUAGUUGCAUAACGUCUAAUUCAAUAAUAUGUUAAAAUAUCGUGAUCAUCCAACGGUUGGAUUGUCAGAAAUAAAUAAAACGGAGUUACUAUUCAUCAGCGACAGUAUUUCGAAUUUUGAGUUAAACAAAAAUUUGGUUACUCUGUAAGUUGGGGGUAUAAUUCUCUGUAAGUUGUAGAAAUAGUUUUCAUUCCAUAUCAGCCUGCAAAAUAUUUCUACAAAUACCAAAUGCGCAGUCUUGUGUAACCCUUGUAACAUUUUUUUUUUCAAUAAAAUCCUUGGCAUGUAUAGGGCUGUUAUACAAACCUUGCUAUUUUGCUGUUCAUGUCAUUUUAAUAGAUCUUUUUAAUGAUUGCUUGUUUUAUUAUUUGUUAAUUCGAAAUAAAAUUGAUCGGUUAUUUAUUUCUUGUAAUAGGUAUAAAGAUAUGCCUAAGAGAGAACUUAGAGUUGCUUCUAACCAAAUUCUAUCUGUUUUUCAAGAUAAUUAUCCUGAAAUGGUGGCUAGAAAGGUAAAAUUUCAUUUCAAAGUUUAUGUGCUGAUCGCGCUGCUGAUAUAUAGCGCUGAAUUCAUACCAAUGAUGGAGGGAAGCUGCUGCUGAUAUAUAGCGCUUGUGUGGUAACCAUGCUCCUGUAUGUUGCGCUGCUGCUGAUGAUAGCGCUUCUUUUGAAGUGGCUGCUGCUGAUAGAGCUUAUGUGCUAAUCGCGCUGCUGAUAGAGCUUGUGUUCUGAUUGCGCUGCUGCUCCUUGUUUUUAUUUUACUGUUUUCUUUUGCUUGUAUCCAGUUCUGCAGAGAUUGUGAAAUAUCUUUCACAACCUGCAUUAUGCUGUUUUGAAUGGAAUGGAGUGACACUUGCCCCUCCUUGUUAUGAAAUGAUUUAUAAAUAAAAUCUAAUUUUUAGACAUUCUCUAGAUAUUUAUAAAAAAUUGGCAAAUUCAUUGAUCUCCCACUGUAAAUAUGAAAGUUUACAUUCUUGCGCGUUUUAAUUGCAUCCAAAUGAUCUAUAAUGCACUGGAUGCGGUGGUCAUCGUUUUCUCGCUUGAGAAAACUCUAUAGUGUUCUCUGUGCUUUUCCCAUUCAUGUAUUUCAAAUCAAAAGAAAUUAGUUGCAGGCAUAGGUGAAAAAGUCGAAAAUGCCAGGAUAUAUAUUCACGAAUUUUGCCGAUUUUUGG
Molecule: long non-coding RNA, 2289 nt
Filed under: Aquilegia coerulea
Lineage: Eukaryota; Viridiplantae; Streptophyta; Magnoliopsida; Ranunculales; Ranunculaceae
Description: long non-coding RNA (ACOE_LNC001657)
Source: RNAcentral